UACGUAGGGGGCGAGCGUUGUCCGGAUUUAUUGGGCGUAAAGCGCAUGCAGGCGGUCCUGUAAGUUUGGAGUGACAGUUUCCGGCUCAACCGGGAAAGUGCUUUGAAAACUGCGGGACUUGAGGGCUUCAGAGGGACACGGAAUUCCGGGUGGAGUGGUGAAAUGCGUAGAUAUCCGGAGGAACACCGAAGGCGAAGGCAGUGUCCUGGGGAGCACCUGACGCUCAGAUGCGAAAGCCAGGGGAGCGAACGGG
Molecule: ribosomal RNA, 253 nt
Filed under: uncultured bacterium
Lineage: Bacteria
Description: partial 16S ribosomal RNA
Rfam family: Bacterial small subunit ribosomal RNA
Source: RNAcentral